This 352-nucleotide unclassified non-coding RNA is filed under the name soil metagenome. RNAcentral's name for it is "partial contains 5.8S ribosomal RNA, internal transcribed spacer 2, and large subunit ribosomal RNA". The stretch from base 1 to 120 matches the Rfam family "5.8S ribosomal RNA", at positions 35 to 154 of the family's 154-position model. The record is from RNAcentral.
GAUGAAGAACGUAGCGAAAUGCGAUAAGUAAUGUGAAUUGCAGAAUUCAGUGAAUCAUCGAAUCUUUGAACGCACAUUGCGCCCGCCAGUAUUCUGGCGGGCAUGCCUGUUCGAGCGUCAUUACAACCCUCAGGCCCCCGGGCCUGGCGUUGGGGAUCGGCGGAAGCCCCCUGUGGGCACACGCCGUCCCUCAAAUACAGUGGCGGUCCCGCCGCAGCUUCCAUUGCGUAGUAGCUAACACCUCGCAACUGGAGAGCGGCGCGGCCAUGCCGUAAAACACCCAACUUCUGAAUGUGGACCUCGAAUCAGGUAGGAAUACCCGCUGAACUUAAGCAUAUCAAUAAGCGGAGGA